Molecule: ribosomal RNA, 467 nt
Filed under: uncultured bacterium
Lineage: Bacteria
Description: partial 16S ribosomal RNA
Rfam family: Bacterial small subunit ribosomal RNA
Source: RNAcentral
GACGAACGCUGGCGGCGUGCUUAACACAUGCAAGUCGAACGAUGACGGCCGAUCUUUCUCGGUCUGAUUAGUGGCGAACGGGUGAUUAACACGUGAGCAACCUGCCCUUCACUCUGGGUUAACCUCGGGAAAUCUGGGCUAAUACCGGAUAUGAGCUCCUGUCGCAUGGCGGGUGUUGGCAAGUUUUUCGGUGGCGGCUGGUCUCGCGGCCUAUCGGUUUGUUGGUGAGGGAUUGGCACACCAAGGCGCUGACGGGUAGCCGGCCUGAGAGGGCGACCGGCCACACUGGGACUGAGACACGGCCCAGACUCCAACGGGAGGCAGCAGUGGGGAAUAUUGCACAAUGGGCGAAAGCCUGAUGCAGCGACGCCGCGUGAGGGAUGACGGCCUUCGGGUUGUAAACAGCUUUCAGCAGGGAAGAAGCGAAAGUGACGGUACCUGAAGAAGAAGCGCCGGCUAACUACGUG